AGAGCGAACGCUGGCGGCAUGCUUAACACAUGCAAGUCGCACGGUCAGGUUUCGGCCUGGUAGUGGCGGACGGGUGAGUAACGCGUAGGUAUCUAUCCGAAGGUGGGGGAUAACGGCGGGAAACUGCUGCUAAUACCGCAUAUGACCUGAGGGUCAAAGGUCGCAAGACCGCCUGUGGAGGAGCCUGCGUACGAUUAGCUUGUUGGUGGGGUAAAGGCCUACCAAGGCGACGAUCGUUAGCUGGUCUGAGAGGAUGAUCAGCCACAUUGGGACUGAGACACGGCCCAAACUCCUACGGGAGGCAGCAGUGGGGAAUAUUGGACAAUGGGGGCAACCCUGAUCCAGCAAUGCCGCGUGUGUGAAGAAGGUCUUCGGAUUGUAAAGCACUUUCGACGGGACGAUGAUGACGGUACCCGUAUAAGAAGCCCGGCUAACUUCGUGCCAGCAGCCGC
This 452-nucleotide ribosomal RNA is filed under the name uncultured bacterium. RNAcentral's name for it is "SSU rRNA". It matches the Rfam family "Bacterial small subunit ribosomal RNA", at positions 26 to 518 of the family's 1533-position model. The record is from RNAcentral.